GGGCGCGGCCGGGGAGGCGGGGAUCACCCGAACCCAUUCCGAACUCGGCAGUUAAGCCCGCCAUCGCCGGAUGUACUGGGGGGG
Molecule: ribosomal RNA, 84 nt
Filed under: Slackia equolifaciens
Lineage: Bacteria; Bacillati; Actinomycetota; Coriobacteriia; Eggerthellales; Eggerthellaceae
Source: RNAcentral